Molecule: long non-coding RNA, 566 nt
Organism: Anthonomus grandis grandis
Lineage: Eukaryota; Metazoa; Arthropoda; Insecta; Coleoptera; Curculionidae
Exons: 2
Source: RefSeq, a predicted model, not a curated record
UUAGGAGCGCUCGGGUACAAUCGCGUAGCUUCGGUACUUUCAAAUAAUAAUGGCCUCCACCGCUAAACUAAACUUUUAUAAUAUUAUUAUGGUUUGCGUGUUUCGCCUUGGGUUACCUCUCUCAGUUGAAGAGGUAAAAACUACAGAAAACGAGCCCAGCACGAGCAAAAGCUGUUCAACGCCACCGUACAUACGUUCUUUUUUUAUUUGCCUUUAGUGUGUUACGGUCGAGUCAUUCUCCUCGAAUAUUUCAAUGGGAAAUAAAGAGCUUCUUCCAGGCACCCCUGGAAAAAAUCCUCUAGAACUUAUCAGAAAUGAAGAACAUAUUUUAUACUUGUAAUUGAUUCUAGUUUGAGUCAUUUUCCUCGAAUAUUUCAAUAGGAAAUGAAGGGCUUCUUCCAGGCAGUUGAGAUAUCAUUAGUAGAUCAAUAUUAAGGGCAUAAAUCUAGCUACACCCUUUUAUAAAUGUCUAUUGUAUCAGAAAUGAGAAUAAAAAGUACAGUAUUUUUCCUUGUAUAAUUAGUCAAACAGCAAUUUAGAAAUAAUAAGAAAUAGAAAAAAAAUGU